AGUAAUGCCUAGGAAUCUGCCUGGUAGUGGGGGACAACGUUUCGAAAGGAACGCUAAUACCGCAUACGUCCUACGGGAGAAAGCAGGGGACCUUCGGGCCUUGCGCUAUCAGAUGAGCCUAGGUCGGAUUAGCUUGUUGGUGAGGUAAUGGCUCACCAAGGCGACGAUCCGUAACUGGUCUGAGAGGAUGAUCAGUCACACUGGAACUGAGACACGGUCCAGACUCCUACGGGAGGCAGCAGUGGGGAAUAUUGGACAAUGGGCGAAAGCCUGAUCCAGCCAUGCCGCGUGUGUGAAGAAGGUCUUCGGAUUGUAAAGCACUUUAAGUUGGGAGGAAGGGUUGUAGAUUAAUACUCUGCAAUUUUGACGUUACCGACAGAAUAAGCACCGGCUAACUCUGUGCCAGCAGCCGCGGUAAUACAGAGGGUGCAAGCGUUAAUCGGAAUUACUGGGCGUAAAGCGCGCGUAGGUGGUUUGUUAAGUUGGAUGUGAAAGCCCCGGGCUCAACCUGGGAACUGCAUCCAAAACUGGCAAGCUAGAGUACGGUAGAGGGUGGUGGAAUUUCCUGUGUAGCGGUGAAAUGCGUAGAUAUAGGAAGGAACACCAGUGGCGAAGGCGACCACCUGGACUGAUACUGACACUGAGGUGCGAAAGCGUGGGGAGCAAACAGGAUUAGAUACCCUGGUAGUCCACGCCGUAA
RNAcentral lists this ribosomal RNA (700 nucleotides) under Pseudomonas sp. RNAcentral describes it as "bacterial SSU rRNA". It matches the Rfam family "Bacterial small subunit ribosomal RNA", at positions 109 to 805 of the family's 1533-position model. Lineage: Bacteria; Pseudomonadati; Pseudomonadota; Gammaproteobacteria; Pseudomonadales; Pseudomonadaceae. The record is from RNAcentral.